UUAAGCGACUAAGCGUACACGGUGGAUGCCCUGGCAGUCAGAGGCGAUGAAGGACGUGCUAAUCUGCGAAAAGCGCCGGCGAGGUGAUAUGAACCUUUGACCCGGCGAUGUCCGAAUGGGGAAACCCAGUGCAAUUCGUUGCACUAUCGUUAACUGAAUACAUAGGUUAACGAGGCGAACCGGGGGAACUGAAACAUCUAAGUACCCCGAGGAAAAGAAAUCAACCGAGAUUCCCCCAGUAGCGGCGAGCGAACGGGGAGGAGCCCAGAGUCUGAAUCAGUUUGUGUGUUAGUGGAAGCGUCUGGAAAGUCGCACGAUACAGGGUGAAAGUCCCGUACACGAAAGCACACAGGCUGUGAACUCGAAGAGUAGGGCGGGACACGUGGUAUCCUGUCUGAAUAUGGGGGGGACCAUCCUCCAAGGCUAAAUACUCCUGACUGACCGAUAGUGAACCAGUACCGUGAGGGAAAGGCGAAAAGAACCCCGGCGAGGGGAGUGAAAAAGAACCUGAAACCGUGUACGUACAAGCAGUGGGAGCAUCCUUCGGGGUGUGACUGCGUACCUUUUGUAUAAUGGGUCAGCGACUUAUAUUCUGUAGCAAGGUUAACCGAAUAGGGGAGCCGAAGGGAAACCGAGUCUUAACUGGGCGUUAAGUUGCAGGGUAUAGACCCGAAACCCGGUGAUCUAGCCAUGGGCAGGUUGAAGGUUGGGUAACACUAACUGGAGGACCGAACCGACUAAUGUUGAAAAAUUAGCGGAUGACCUGUGGCUGGGGGUGAAAGGCCAAUCAAACCGGGAGAUAGCUGGUUCUCCCCGAAAGCUAUUUAGGUAGCGCCUCGUGAACUCAUCUUCGGGGGUAGAGCACUGUUUCGGCUAGGGGGGUCAUCCCGACUUACCAACCCGAUGCAAACUGCGAAUACCGAAGAAUGUUAUCACGGGAGACACACGGCGGGUGCUAACGUCCGUCGUGAAGAGGGAAACAACCCAGACCGCCAGCUAAGGUCCCAAAGUCAUGGUUAAGUGGGAAACGAUGUGGGAAGGCCCAGACAGCCAGGAUGUUGGCUUAGAAGCAGCCAUCAUUUAAAGAAAGCGUAAUAGCUCACUGGUCGAGUCGGCCUGCGCGGAAGAUGUAACGGGGCUAAACCAUGCACCGAAGCUGCGGCAGCGACACUGUGUGUUGUUGGGUAGGGGAGCGUUCUGUAAGCCGUUGAAGGUGUGCUGUGAGGCAUGCUGGAGGUAUCAGAAGUGCGAAUGCUGACAUAAGUAACGAUAAAGCGGGUGAAAAGCCCGCUCGCCGGAAGACCAAGGGUUCCUGUCCAACGUUAAUCGGGGCAGGGUGAGUCGACCCCUAAGGCGAGGCCGAAAGGCGUAGUCGAUGGGAAACAGGUUAAUAUUCCUGUACUUGGUGUUACUGCGAAGGGGGGACGGAGAAGGCUAUGUUAGCCGGGCGACGGUUGUCCCGGUUUAAGCAUGUAGGCGGAGGUUCCAGGUAAAUCCGGUACCUUUUAACGCUGAGGUGUGAUGACGAGGCACUACGGUGCUGAAGUAACAAAUGCCCUGCUUCCAGGAAAAGCCUCUAAGCAUCAGGUAACACGAAAUCGUACCCCAAACCGACACAGGUGGUCAGGUAGAGAAUACCAAGGCGCUUGAGAGAACUCGGGUGAAGGAACUAGGCAAAAUGGUGCCGUAACUUCGGGAGAAGGCACGCUGACAUGUAGGUGAAGCCCCUGCGGGUGGAGCUGAAGUCAGUCGAAGAUACCAGCUGGCUGCAACUGUUUAUUAAAAACACAGCACUGUGCAAACACGAAAGUGGACGUAUACGGUGUGACGCCUGCCCGGUGCCGGAAGGUUAAUUGAUGGGGUUAUCCUUAGGGAGAAGCUCUUGAUCGAAGCCCCGGUAAACGGCGGCCGUAACUAUAACGGUCCUAAGGUAGCGAAAUUCCUUGUCGGGUAAGUUCCGACCUGCACGAAUGGCGUAAUGAUGGCCAGGCUGUCUCCACCCGAGACUCAGUGAAAUUGAACUCGCUGUGAAGAUGCAGUGUACCCGCGGCAAGACGGAAAGACCCCGUGAACCUUUACUAUAGCUUGACACUGAACAUUGAGCCUUGAUGUGUAGGAUAGGUGGGAGGCUUUGAAGCGUGGACGCCAGUCUGCGUGGAGCCAACCUUGAAAUACCACCCUUUAAUGUUUGAUGUUCUAACCUGGCGCCGUAAUCCGGCGUGGGGACAGUGUCUGGUGGGUAGUUUGACUGGGGCGGUCUCCUCCUAAAGAGUAACGGAGGAGCACGAAGGUUGGCUAAUCCUGGUCGGACAUCAGGAGGUUAGUGCAAUGGCAUAAGCCAGCUUGACUGCGAGCGUGACGGCGCGAGCAGGUGCGAAAGCAGGUCAUAGUGAUCCGGUGGUUCUGAAUGGAAGGGCCAUCGCUCAACGGAUAAAAGGUACUCCGGGGAUAACAGGCUGAUACCGCCCAAGAGUUCAUAUCGACGGCGGUGUUUGGCACCUCGAUGUCGGCUCAUCACAUCCUGGGGCUGAAGUAGGUCCCAAGGGUAUGGCUGUUCGCCAUUUAAAGUGGUACGCGAGCUGGGUUUAGAACGUCGUGAGACAGUUCGGUCCCUAUCUGCCGUGGGCGCUGGAGAAUUGAGGGGGGCUGCUCCUAGUACGAGAGGACCGGAGUGGACGCAUCACUGGUGUUCGGGUUGUCAUGCCAAUGGCAUUGCCCGGUAGCUACAUGCGGAAGAGAUAAGUGCUGAAAGCAUCUAAGCACGAAACUUGCCCCGAGAUGAGUUCUCCCUGAGACCCAGAGUCUCCUGAAGGAACGUUAAAGACUAUGACGUUGAUAGGCCGGGUGUGUAAGCGCAGCGAUGCGUUGAGCUAACCGGUACUAAUGAACCGUGAGGCUUAACCUU
This 2905-nucleotide ribosomal RNA is filed under the name Pluralibacter gergoviae. Its description in RNAcentral is "bacterial LSU rRNA". It matches the Rfam family "Bacterial large subunit ribosomal RNA". The record is from RNAcentral. Lineage: Bacteria; Pseudomonadati; Pseudomonadota; Gammaproteobacteria; Enterobacterales; Enterobacteriaceae.